RNAcentral lists this ribosomal RNA (1013 nucleotides) under uncultured metazoan. Its description in RNAcentral is "SSU rRNA". It matches the Rfam family "Eukaryotic small subunit ribosomal RNA", at positions 732 to 1766 of the family's 1831-position model. Lineage: Eukaryota; Metazoa. The record is from RNAcentral.
GCACGGGGUACUCGACACGUUUACUUUGAAAAAAUUAGAGUGCUCAAAGCAGGCCUGUGCUUGAAUACAUGUUGCAUGGAAUAAUGGAAUAGGACUUCGGUUCUAUUUUGUUGGUUUUCGGAAUCGAAGUAAUGAUUAAAAGAGACAGUCGGGGGCGUCUGUAUGGUGGUGUUAGAGGUGAAAUUCGAUUAUCGCCACCAGACAAGCAACUGCGAAAGCAUUCGCCAAGGAUGUUUUCAUUAAUCAAGAACGAAAGUCAGAGGUUCGAAGACGAUCAGAUACCGUCCUAGUUCUGACCAUAAACGAUGCCAACUGACAAUCGAGGUUUUUUAUUUUUUUGAACCUCGGCAGUCCCUGGGAAACCUUUAAGUCUAUCGGUUCUGGGGGGAGUAUGGUUGCAAAUCCGAAACUUAAAGGAAUUGACGGAAGGGCACCACCAGGUGUGGAGCCUGCGGCUUAAUUUGACUCAACACGGGAAAACUCACCCGGCCCGGACACUGUGAGGAUUGACAGAUUGAUAGCUCUUUCAUGAUUCAGUGGGUGGUGGUGCAUGGCCGUUCUUAGUUGGUGGAGUGAUUUGUCUGGUUAAUUCCGAUAACGAACGAGACUCUAGCCUGCUAAAUAGUCAUCACGUAACAAUUGCGUGACAUGACUUCUUAGAGGGAUUCGCCACUUUUAGUGGCACGAAAAUGAGCAAUAACAGGUCUGUGAUGCCCUUAGAUGUUCGGGGCCGCACGUGCGCUACACUGACGAUGCCAAUGAGUAUCUUCCUAAGCCGAGAGGUUUGGGAAAUCUUCUGAAUUAUCGUCAUGUCAGGGAUUGGGGCUUGUAACUUUUCCCCAUGAACGAGGAAUACCCAGUAAGCGCAAGUCAUAAGCUUGCGUUGAUUACGUCCCUGCCCUUUGUACACACCGCCCGUCGCUACUACCGAUUGAAUGGUUUAGUGAGGCCUUUGGAUUGGUUCCAAUGGGGUGGUUCGCCAUUCCGUUGGUACUGAGAAAAUCGUCAAACUG